RNAcentral lists this ribosomal RNA (279 nucleotides) under uncultured bacterium. RNAcentral describes it as "partial 16S ribosomal RNA". It matches the Rfam family "Bacterial small subunit ribosomal RNA", at positions 506 to 784 of the family's 1533-position model. The record is from RNAcentral.
UGCCAGCAGCCGCGGUAAUACAGAGGGGGUUAGCGUUGUUCGGAAUUACUGGGCGUAAAGCGCACGUAGGCGGAUUAGAAAGUUAGAGGUGAAAUCCCAGGGCUCAACCCUGGAACUGCCUUUAAAACUAGUGAUCUAGAAUUUGGUAGGGGCCAGUAGAAUUUCCAGUGUAGAGGUGAAAUUCGUAGAUAUUGGAAAGAAUACCAGUGGCGAAGGCGACUGGCUGGGCCAUUUUUGACGCUGAGAUACGAAAGCGUGGGUAGCAAACAGGAUUAGAUA